This 301-nucleotide ribosomal RNA is filed under the name uncultured bacterium. Its description in RNAcentral is "partial 16S ribosomal RNA". It matches the Rfam family "Bacterial small subunit ribosomal RNA", at positions 509 to 807 of the family's 1533-position model. The record is from RNAcentral.
CAGUAGCCGCGGGAAUACGAAGGGGGCUAGCGUUACUCGGAAUUACUGGGCGUAAAGGGCGCGUAGGCGGCACGAUUAGUCAGGCGUGAAAUUCCUGGGCUCAACCUGGGGACUGCGCUUGAUACGGUCGAGCUAGAGGAUGGAAGAGGGUCGUGGAAUUCCCAGUGUAGAGGUGAAAUUCGUAGAUAUUGGGAAGAACACCGGUGGCGAAGGCGGCGACCUGGUCCAUUACUGACGCUGAGGCGCGACAGCGUGGGGAGCAAACAGGAUUAGAUACCCGUGUAGUCCCUGUCUCUUAUAC